Molecule: small RNA, 5655 nt
Filed under: Pongo abelii (Sumatran orangutan)
Lineage: Eukaryota; Metazoa; Chordata; Mammalia; Primates; Hominidae
Description: processed transcript
Source: RNAcentral
GUCUUGAAUAUAAUCAUGGCCAAACCAUAUGAAUUUAACUGGCAGAAGGAAGUUCCUUCCUUUUUGCAAGAAGGAGCAGUAUUUGACAGAUACGAAGAGGAAUCCUUUGUGUUUGAACCCAACUGCCUCUUCAAAGUGGAUGAGUUUGGCUUCUUUCUGACAUGGAAAAGUGAAGGCAAGGAAGGACAGGUGCUAGAAUGCUCCCUCAUCAACAGUAUUCGGUCGGGAGCCAUACCAAAGGAUCCCAAAAUCUUGGCUGCUCUUGAAGCUGUUGGAAAAUCAGAAAAUGAUCUGGAAGGGCGGAUAGUUUGUGUCUGCAGUGGCACAGAUCUAGUGAACAUUAGUUUUACCUACAUGGUGGCUGAAAAUCCAGAAGUAACUAAGCAAUGGGUAGAAGGCCUGAGAUCAAUCAUACACAACUUCAGGGCCAACAACGUCAGUCCAAUGACAUGCCUCAAGAAACACUGGAUGAAAUUGGCAUUUAUGACCAACACAAAUGGUAAAAUUCCAGUUAGGAGUAUUACUAGAACAUUUGCAUCGGGGAAAACAGAAAAGGUGAUCUUUCAAGCACUCAAGGAGUUAGGUCUUCCCAGUGGAAAGAAUGAUGAAAUUGAGCCCGCGGCAUUUUCUUAUGAAAAGUUCUAUGAACUGACACAAAAGAUUUGUCCUCGGACAGAUAUAGAAGAUCUUUUCAAAAAAAUCAAUGGAGACAAAACUGAUUAUUUAACGGUAGACCAAUUAGUGAGCUUUCUAAAUGAACAUCAACGAGAUCCUCGAUUGAAUGAAAUUUUAUUUCCAUUUUAUGAUGCCAGAAGGGCAAUGCAGAUCAUUGAGAUGUAUGAACCUGAUGAAGAUUUGAAGAAAAAAGGCCUUAUAUCAAGUGAUGGGUUUUGCAGAUAUCUGAUGUCAGAUGAAAACGCCCCAGUCUUCCUAGAUCGUUUAGAACUUUACCAAGAAAUGGACCAUCCUCUGGCUCACUACUUCAUCAGUUCUUCCCAUAACACUUAUCUCACUGGCAGACAGUUCGGCGGGAAGUCUUCGGUAGAAAUGUACAGACAGGUUCUCCUGGCUGGUUGCAGAUGUGUUGAACUUGACUGCUGGGAUGGAAAAGGUGAAGACCAAGAACCAAUAAUAACUCAUGGAAAAGCAAUGUGUACAGAUAUCCUUUUUAAGGAUGUAAUUCAAGCCAUCAAGGAAACUGCAUUUGUCACAUCAGAGUAUCCUGUAAUUCUCUCCUUUGAAAAUCACUGCAGCAAAUAUCAACAGUACAAGAUGUCCAAAUAUUGCGAAGAUCUAUUUGGGGAUCUCCUGUUGAAACAAGCACUUGAAUCACAUCCACUUGAACCAGGCAGGCCUUUGCCAUCCCCCAAUGACCUCAAAAGAAAAAUACUCAUAAAAAACAAGCGGCUGAAACCUGAAGUUGAAAAAAAACAGCUGGAAGCUUUGAGAAGCAUGAUGGAAGCUGGAGAGUCUGCCUCCCCAGCAAACAUCUUAGAGGACGAUAAUGAAGAGGAGAUCGAAAGUGCUGACCAAGAGGAGGAAGCUCACCCCGAAUUCAAAUUUGGAAAUGAACUUUCUGCUGAUGACUUGGGUCACAAGGAAGCUGUUGCAAAUAGCGUCAAGAAGGGCCUGGUCACUGUAGAAGAUGAGCAGGCGUGGAUGGCAUCUUAUAAAUAUGUAGGUGCUACCACUAAUAUCCAUCCAUAUUUGUCCACAAUGAUCAACUACGCCCAGCCUGUAAAGUUUCAAGGUUUCCAUGUGGCAGAAGAACGCAAUAUUCAUUAUAACAUGUCUUCUUUUAAUGAAUCAGUCGGUCUUGGCUACUUGAAGACACAUGCAAUUGAAUUUGUCAAUUAUAACAAACGGCAAAUGAGUCGCAUUUACCCCAAGGGAGGCCGAGUCGAUUCCAGUAAUUACAUGCCUCAGAUUUUCUGGAACGCUGGCUGCCAGAUGGUUUCACUGAACUAUCAAACCCCAGAUUUAGCGAUGCAAUUGAAUCAGGGAAAAUUUGAGUAUAAUGGAUCGUGCGGGUACCUUCUCAAACCAGAUUUCAUGAGGCGGCCUGAUCGAACAUUUGACCCCUUCUCUGAAACUCCUGUUGAUGGUGUUAUUGCAGCCACUUGCUCAGUGCAGGUUAUAUCAGGUCAAUUCUUAUCAGAUAAGAAAAUUGGCACCUACGUAGAGGUGGAUAUGUAUGGGUUGCCCACUGACACCAUACGUAAGGAAUUCCGAACUCGCAUGGUUAUGAAUAAUGGACUCAAUCCAGUUUACAAUGAAGAGUCAUUUGUAUUUCGGAAGGUGAUCCUGCCGGACCUGGCUGUCUUGAGAAUAGCUGUGUAUGAUGAUAACAACAAGCUGAUUGGCCAGAGGAUCCUCCCGCUUGAUGGCCUCCAAGCAGGAUAUCGACACAUUUCCCUUCGAAAUGAGGGAAAUAAACCAUUAUCACUGCCAACAAUUUUCUGCAAUAUUGUUCUUAAAACAUAUGUGCCUGAUGGAUUUGGAGAUAUUGUGGAUGCUUUAUCAGAUCCAAAGAAAUUUCUCUCAAUUACAGAAAAGAGAGCAGACCAAAUGAGAGCUAUGGGCAUUGAGACUAGUGACAUAGCCGACGUGCCCAGUGACACUUCCAAAAAUGACAAGAAAGGAAAGGCCAACACUGCCAAAGCAAAUGUGACCCCUCAGAGUAGCUCUGAGCUCAGACCAACCACCACGGCUGCCCUGGCCUCUGGUGUGGAAGCCAAGAAAGGCAUUGAACUUAUCCCUCAAGUAAGGAUAGAAGACUUAAAGCAGAUGAAGGCUUACUUGAAGCAUUUAAAGAAACAGCAGAAGGAGCUAAAUUCUUUAAAGAAGAAACAUGCAAAGGAACACAGUACCAUGCAGAAGUUACACUGCACGCAAGUUGACAAAAUUGUGGCACAGUAUGACAAAGAGAAGUUGACUCAUGAGAAAAUCCUAGAGAAGGCAAUGAAGAAGAAGGGGGGAAGUAAUUGUCUCGAAAUGAAAAAAGAAACAGAAAUUAAAAUUCAGACGCUGACAUCAGAUCACAAAUCUAAGGGAAAGCAAGGAAAUGCGAGCACACCAGGCUAAGAUUUCUAUGGAAAAUAGCAAAGCCAUCAGCCAAGAUAAAUCUAUCAAGAAUAAAGCAGAACGGGAAAGGCGAGUCAGGGAGUUAAACAGCAGCAACACCAAAAAGUUUCUGGAAGAAAGAAAGAGACUUGCAGUGAAGCAGUCCAAAGAAAUGGAUCAGUUGAAAAAAGUCCAGCUUGAACAUCUAGAAUUCCUAGAGAAACAGAAUGAGCAGCUUUUGAAAUCCUGUCAUGCAGUGUCCCAAACGCAAGGCGAAGGAGAUGCAGCAGAUGGUGAAAUUGGAAGCCGAGAUGGACCGCAGACCAGCAACAGUAGUAUGAAACUCCAAAAUGCAAACUGAAGCAGCAAACCCACAAAGCAUCAAAAGAUUCACUCACAAACUUCUGAACACAAACUCCACGAAUGAAAGCUGUUUAUUUUGUUUCCUUUAUGUGUAAACAAGAUGAUAUCUGAAACCAGAGAGACUUGGAAUGUCUGACUGACUUCUAUUUAACAGCUUGAGUAUUGCAUUUCCUUGGCCAAACAAAAGUAGCUACAAAUCCACAAAAAUUUACUAUUCCAGUAAGGCAGAGUUCAACCAUUGCUAAUACAACUUAAACAUGUUUGCUAUAAAAUACCAUCACAAGUAAAUGAGCUUGGUGUUAACAACUCUCCUUUGUGAUGCCUUAGGACAUGUUUGAACUGCAGCAAAAAACAAACAAAAACAAAAAACAGUGCAUUGGCAAUUUCAUAGCAAGUGCAUGCACUAGGAAAAGAAAACUCUGUCUACAAAUUUAUUAGCAGAAGUGAUGGUCUGCUAGACAAAUAAUUUUGCAAAAUUUUUCUACAUCUAAGUUACCUCAUCAGUAAGUGCCAUGUCUCUACCAUGCCAUCAGAGGCUAAUUUCCUGUAAAAGUUGUGGAAAUUGUUAGAACAAUAGAAAAAUAGAGCAGUGUAUGUGUGCCAAAACUCAUCAUUACUCAAAGGAGAACUGUGUUAGGCACAUUUAAGAAAGUUUACAUCUGACAUUGCUUUAUAGGAAUGGUUUCUGCAGAUUCCAGAUAUUACAAUUCACACCAUAAAGAUUGUGAAGUGGUUAUUGGCAAAUGUUUGUAAAUGUGACCAUGUAUAAAGUAUUUAUACUCUAAUUCACACUGUUAGAGAGCAAAAUCAUCUAAGUAUUGCCACAUGACAAGAUUAGUAAACAGGAAUACUAGAACUAUGUUUGCAUGAUACACAAACACCAAUAAAGACUAAUCCAUACACAGUUAACCUAAUGCCAAAUAAAUACUGGUUAAAUAAAUGUAUGGCACAGAAUAUAAUUUGACUAUCAAGACUUUUAGCAUAAUGAAGAACUCUCUCUAUAUAUAUAUGUGUAUAUGAAUUAUGUGGGCAUUCUUGAUACUUCAAGUUCUAGUUUGAAAAAAAUACAUAACUAAUUUAAUUUUACACAAAUAUUUAUGCAGAUUUUCAGAAUUUCAUAUCAGGAAAUGACCUUUUUAUGUCUGUUAAAUAUCAAAACAAUUUGCUACAGUGUUAAUCUGCAUGGUCUUUAAGCCUGCUGUAGUUGAGUUGCAGACAGUGCAUGAAAAAGUAUUCCGCUGGGAAUUGAGCCAUGCCACCAAAGCCAAGAGGAGCGCAUGGAAACCCGGUAGUCUAGAACUAAUCAGAUUACUGAUUUUAGGGCACAGCACCAAAUGAAUUGUUGUAUAUGCUUGUAAAAAUUGAUUCUGUGUGUUCCUCUGAACAAAGCGGAGAAAAUGAUGAUACCAUCAAUAUUGAAAUUAAACUUCCAACUUCUCUAAUAAAAAAUUAAAACACGCAUAACACUCGUCAGAGUAUUUGCUCCCAAGACACAUUCUAGCAAGUGUUUUGCCUUUUUUCAUAUAUGUGAUAUCAUCGUUAUUUUCAAAGGGGGCUUAUUAAUACCCUCAGCAUGUUUUUCACCCAAAUGAUGCAAAACAUGCAGAUUCUAGUUGACUUCAGAUGUAAUAGACUUGUUUUUCUCCUAUUUGUGAUUUGAAGUGGAUUCUGUAAAAAUAUCUCUUGUUCUUAGUUUCCUUAUCUGUAAAACAGUGGAGUUAGACUACAUAUCUUUUGACACUAACAUCUCAUGAAAAAUUAUGGUUAGUAAAAUGUCACCACAUUUGGAUUGCCAAUUUUCAAAGAUUCUGAGUGGCUUCUCAUCAUCAAAUCAAAUCAAAUCCAAGAGCUCAAGUAUGCUCACCAUUCUGUAACACUUGACCGAAUUCAUCACUUGCCUCCUCUUGUUUCUGCUUUGGAGAGGUACUACUAGUUUUUCCAUUUUUCUUAUUUCUUCUCUGGCUUUUCAUCCUCCUAGGCUACCAUAAGCAUUUAUAUUUUCCAGUUUUUUGUGGAACCAGUUUUUUUUCUUUAAUCCAGGUUACUUUUAGUAUUUGAGACAUCAUACCAUUCAUCCAUUGUAGCAAGAUUAAAAUGUACACACAACUGAAAUGUGCAACAAAAGCAUGUGUUACCUGCUAUUGUAAGUUCAUAUUGCACUCAAACCUUGCAUUAUCCCUUAUUAUGAAGAAAAAUUAAUAGCCAAUUAAAGUAACUCAGUGUCUUCCA